RNAcentral lists this ribosomal RNA (645 nucleotides) under uncultured archaeon. RNAcentral describes it as "bacterial SSU rRNA". It matches the Rfam family "Archaeal small subunit ribosomal RNA", at positions 156 to 805 of the family's 1478-position model. The record is from RNAcentral.
AUAGAAAAUAGAUACUGGAAGGUUCUAUUUUCAAAAGUUCCGAUGCCUGAGGAUAGGACUGCGGUGGAUUAGGCUGUUGUGGGUAUAAAGGACCCACAAACCUAUAAUCCAUGCGGGCGUUGAGAGACGGAGCCCGGAGAUGCGUUCUGAGACAAGAAUGCAGGUCCUACGGGACGCAGCAGUCGCGAAAACUUUACAAUACCUGAAAGGGUGAUAAGGGAAUUCUGAGUGCUCCAGCAUUGCUGGAGCUUUUCUAGAGUGUAAAAAGCUUUGGGAAUAAGUGGUGGGUAAGACGGGUGCCAGCCGCCGCGGUAACACCCGCGCCACGAGUGGUAAUCACGGUUAUUGGGUCUAGAGCGUUCGUAGCCGGCUUAGAAAAUUCUUGGUGAAAUUUCAUGUAAAACAUGGAAAGUGCCAGGAACACUUCUGGGCUAGGAACCGGGAAAGGCUAGGGGUACUCCGAGGGUAAGGGUUAAAUCUUGUAAUCCUUGGAGGACCACCUGUGGCGAAGGCGCCUAGCUGGAACGGCUUCGACGGUGAGGGACGAAAGCCUGGGUCGCAAACGGGAUUAGAUACCCCGGUAGUCCAGGCUGUAAACGAUGCCCGCUUGAUGUAUCGCUCCUUUCGAAGGGGCGAUGUGUCGUA